UCUCUGUGGACUGCAGCGUGGUCAUUCUUUACUACUAAUAUCCACUUACAAGAAAGCCCACGUCUGUGUCACACUUCUUCUCUGAGAGGCUCAGGAUCAGUGUGGAAGAGAAGGAAGAAAGAGUGUAAGAACUAGAGGUGUUGGAUAGCUACAAACAAACACGGUCUUCUGGACAUGGGAGGGCAGUGGUUAUGACGGAAUUCACGAGAGCUGUGCAAGCUUCAGCCAGGAAAUAAGAUACUGUGGAUUCAUUCUGUGUUAAGAAAAUUAAAGUUUUAUUGAGGAAGACUCCUUGAAAUAUCUCCAAAGGGAACAGAUGACCCAGAUGGUCCAACAUUUCAGAGUACCUCUGUUUCAGUUUCUCCUGAAUUCUGCAUCCAAAACAACUUCAAGGCUGCUGGUUGAGAUGAUCCAGCCUCACAGAAUACUUCCCAGUUAAUACUUGGCCAUAAUCCUAAAUUUUCUUUGGCUCCCCAAAGGAUUACCCGCACCCUCAAUUUGCAGAAUGUAACCUAGAAAACUACACCCACAUUCCCAAAAAUGGAUUAUGGAUAUUU
Molecule: long non-coding RNA, 557 nt
Organism: Mesocricetus auratus (golden hamster)
Lineage: Eukaryota; Metazoa; Chordata; Mammalia; Rodentia; Cricetidae
Exons: 3
Source: RefSeq, a predicted model, not a curated record